GACGUAGGGCGCGAGCGUUGUCCGGAUUUAUUGGGCGUAAAGAGCUCGUAGGCGGCUUGUCGCGUCGACCGUGAAAUCCCCGAGGCUCAACCUCGGGUCUGCAGUCGAUACGGGGCAAAACUAGAGUAUUUGCAGGGGGAGACUGGAAUUCCUGGUGUAGCGGUGGAAUGCGCAGAUAUCAGGAGGGAACACCGAUGGCGAAGGCAGGUCUCUGGGCCAUUACUGACACUGAGAAGCGAAAAGCAUGGGGGAGCGAACAGG
This 261-nucleotide ribosomal RNA is filed under the name uncultured bacterium. Its description in RNAcentral is "partial 16S ribosomal RNA". It matches the Rfam family "Bacterial small subunit ribosomal RNA", at positions 524 to 776 of the family's 1533-position model. The record is from RNAcentral.